Molecule: long non-coding RNA, 5774 nt
Filed under: Sus scrofa (pig)
Lineage: Eukaryota; Metazoa; Chordata; Mammalia; Artiodactyla; Suidae
Description: lncRNA (ENSSSCG00055006601.1)
Source: RNAcentral
CCUGUCUUUCAUUUUACUCCAUGUACUAGCAAAAAGAGAGUACUUAAGGUGUUUAUUUCACUCUGGAAGGUUUUUACAAAGAGCAGUUUUUAAUGAAGCACGGCACAUGGCAUCAUUAUCAUUUCUAACACAGAGAAUUCAUUUUCAAUUUUGCUAUCAAAGAAAAAUGACAAAUAGAGAAUGCAAGAAAAACCAGAUGGACUAACUGUAUUAGGAGCUUAGUAUGCAUAUUUUGUGUCACAUAUUAGCAUUCAUUAAGUCAAAAUGGAAAAAAAUGAGUUUUGCCUACAUGCAUUAAACCAAUAAGGCUGGCAAAGUUCCAAGCUAGCUCUUGUGGAUUAAUUGUUUUAUAACUGUUUUAAUUAAAAUUGUUCAGUAUAUGAUUAACCUAAAAGUUUUAAUUUCCACAAAACUGUUGAACAAAUGAGACAUUAAUAUUUUACAUUAACCAUGGUGAUAUUGCUGUGGUUUUUCCAAGCGACUGCUUGUUUGAGUAAACCAUGGAAAGUGGCAGGUGGAAAGUACCUUGUCUCGUGCAGUGCCCAAGAAAACCUGCAAGUUGAGAAUCACUUAGUGAAAGGACCAGUGUGACAGGGUCGUGCGUUACACUGAAAAUUCCUUUGAUGAGGAUUCAUGGAAUCAGCCUCCCCACUUUCUUUCAGUUUAGAGCUGAGCCUCUUAUAAAUUGUCAUGUUGAGGAGGUUAACAGUAUAACAUGGCAAAAAUGAGUUAUUGUGUCUUUUCUUUCUAUUUGGCUUCCUAAUGGUGUUGGGGUACCACAUGAAAUCGUUGGAUUUGAAGGAGUUGGCCAGUAGGGCCUGCGAAAUUAUUUGACGUUGCAAAGCUCUGUGGUUUUAGUUUAGGAGACAGGUACAAAUGUUGAUUUUGGAAUCAAAAGGAAGGUAGGAAAGGUUUGGAUCACCUUUAUUUACUUGCUGUUCUGAAGGUUGGCACCAGGCUGGCUUUAGAAAAACACAUACCAUUUGGUAAACCUGAGGCCCAGUAAAAUUUCGCUCUGUGGAGCUGUAGCUCAAUCAAUAUGUAGAUAUGCCUUUCUGUCACUCAUUCAUCUCCCCACUUAUGCUCCCAUCUUGAUUUAUUUCAGUUUAUUAAGAGAUCGGGAUGGAAGUUUCUUGGAAGCUUAGCAGGUUGAGCACCCAGAGUUGUCACUGCUGUGGUGUGAAUUUGAUUCCUGGCCCUGGAACCUCUGCAUGCCGUGGGUGCAGCCAAAACAAAACAGAAAGAUGAGGAUGUCUUUCUUCUCACCUCCUCUAAGCUUUUUACUCUGACUUCAUUCUGGGUUCAGGUCAUGGUACUAUGUAAAUUUCAAAGUGCUGGUGUUAUUUGAAUCCCAUAGGAGGAUAUUUUAAAAGAUAGGUUUCAUACUGCUUAGUGGAAAUCAUGAUGACAAAAUUUAUGCUGGUCCUAACUGUCCAUAUAUUAAUAAAUUCUUUAGAGUCCUAGGCUGAGUUUACCUUUUGGGGUUUAUGACACUUGGUACCAGAUCUUCUUUGCGGUCUUAGAUCUGCAGAGUCUGGGAUGCAACAUUUGAACGGUAGAAGUAAUAUCUCCCUUGCAUGUACUUUGUCAGGAUCAUAUGGCAUUUCAAUCUAUCCAGAGUUCAGCUGCAGCCCUGAUUUGAUCUCUUCCUUACUUUGUCCCAUGGUUUUUUCCGUAGUACCAUAAACUUUCCUGUGCUACCCUUCCCCUCUGUUCUGUAUAAUCAUUCUCCUUCCUAAAGUUCCCCUGUUUAGCUUUUUAAGCACUGCCCUUUGAAUAAAUUAUUCAUAUAUUCAGUAUAUUUGAAGGAUUUAAUAAUCAGAGUAUAAUCAUACAUUUUAUGGUUGUAUAAUUGUCUGUACAAGUUGCCAUAUUUGCCAGAAACCAGCUUUACACAAGUGAUUUUCAAGAUAAGUGGUUUAUCAGGCGUGUUGCUAUCUGUUCAUUUCUUUAGGCUCUCCUGAGUUCUCUCACUACAUGAAGUUAGAUCAUUAGAAAUGCGCAUACCUGGACUGUAUUAUUUUGGUGCUUCAGAGAAUUGCCGUCAUGGAGUUACAGUACUAUGUCCUUGGUAAAUGGAGAGUAAGGGCACUCAAUUUAAGAAUUCUGUAUCCUGUAUUCCCAAGAAUAUCUCUGUCUUUUGAAAAACCUUAAAAAGACUCUGCUAUUUUAAUGUUAUAAACGCACACACACAGACAAAUCGAUCUUUCUUUGAGAAUUCAAUGCAGGAAAAAUUUUCUCCUGACCAACGUAUGCAUUCUUUUAACUCUCAAAUGUUUACUGAAUGAAUGAAUACUAUGUGGUUAGGUAAGAGUCCUUUUGCGCUUUCUAGUCCUUUCUAGUCUAUUCCGAACUUCAUUCAAUAACCAACUUUAAGAACCCUAAAUCCCUGGUGGUCAAGUACUAUUACUCUUUUGCUUGGUGAGUACUGUUCCCCAUCUCCCCCCCCCCCCUUUUUAGGUCUUUUUAGUCCCACACCCACAGCAUAUAUGGAGGUUCCCAGGCCAGGGGUUGAAUCCAAACUGCAGCUGUCGGCCUACACCACAGCCACAGCAACGCAAGAUCCUUAACCCACUGAGCGAGGCCAGGGAUCAAACCUGCAUCCUCGUGGAUACUAGUCGGGUUCCUUACUGCUGAACCAUGACAGGAACUUCUCCAUCUACUUUUAAUAGGUUUUUCUCUGGUUAAAAUGGUCUUGUUGAUCACGGUACGUCUGUGCAGAAAGACAUGCAUAGCCACUUCACCAUGUUCCCCAUGAAAAGAGAACUCCUCUUAUUGUUCAGUAAGAGGAGUCAAGCAUAUGGUUUUCUGGACCUGUGAGAUCAGAGAUUCUUGCUGUUAAGAUAGCACAACAAAUGCCAAAAGCAGGAUUUUUCAUGAGUGCCAAAUAUAGGAAUAAGAAGAUAGUUGGGGUCUUACUACCUUCAUUUGAUCUCUCUUUUCCAUUUCAUUGUUUAUAAAUGUGUCCUCUGCUCCCCUGGAUCCUGUUUCCAGUCCAGUAGCAGUGAUUACUGUUGAUGCAAACCUCCCAGCUCUGAGGCCAGGUAUUUUCUUGCCCACCUCUGCAGCCUGCCUUCCACCUCUACCCCUCCAUAAAAAUUAUGCUUGUAUUGCUCUUCAUCAGCUACAGGGCUGCACUUUUCUCAUUUGUUUUUCUGAUGCAGCAACAGCCCUUCCAAAAAUACCAUCAAGGCUAAUAAUAAUCCUUUUGCUGCUCAAUACAUCUUUUGUCUGAGGCUUAGUUACUGUCGCAGUUGAUGGCAUGCCAGCUGAUGGUGAGCAACAAAUGAAUGUUUAAAUAGUGUCUAAUUCAACAGAUGUGCCAGUCCAGGUAAUUCUCCCAAUAGUGGCCACACAGCGAGUGGAAGGAGAGCAGUAACUGAGUGUACAGUGGGUUGUCAGCUCAUUCUUGGUAAUUAUAGUUUGACUUAUCUUGCCUCAAUUCAGUUUUUAUGACUCUGUUUGGCUACUUUAUUUUGAUAGAUGUAGCAGUGUGGCUUCCACUUGGGGAGGUUUACAUUUUCAAAUCAUGAGGAAAAUUAUGAUGAUAGCGCAGCUUUAGUAAUUUCCAGUGAUCAUCACCAAAUAAUAUUUUCUGGGAGUCCUAGGUGUAUAAAACUCAUCUUUGUAAGUGCACAUAUAGUAUUCUUUACCCUCUUAUCAAAGCACAUGCUUGCGGCUGGCCCACUUUUAACAUUACUCAAGGAAGGAAGGAGGAAACUGCCUAUCCACUAUUACUACACAGUACUUAAAAUAUACAGACCGAUAUAUCUUAGCACAUAGCAGUCUUUUGUGAAGAUACCUUGUCAAUCAAGAUAAGUAAAUCUCUUCUCUCUUUUCCAUGAACCCAGCAGCCAAAUUGCUUCUAUUAUAGUUCCUUGUAAAACUGUUGUUAAAUUACUUUGUGGCUGGUUAUGUUACUUGGCUAGAAAAAUGGUACUGGAAUUUUCAGCUUUAGUCCUAUGCUGCCCAUCUUUCCUAACUUAUGGUCAGCCAUAUGUUUACACCAGAUGAGGUAGGACGAAUCAUUGGAUACAAGUGCAUUCUUGGAAAAGAUAGCAAAAAUUGUAUUCUACUAAAAGCAUGAAUUAGUUUUUCUCCUCAUAUAUGGGCUGUACGUUCAUACCUAUAGCAGGAACCUAUCAUUUUCCCCCUGGUAUUAAUAAUAAUAGUUUCUUGGUGAUAAGGAUUAAAAUAAACAUCAGGAGAGUGGGGGGAGGGGCAAAGGGGGUUUGAUCAUUGAGGGGCAGUUAAAGGGCUUUUUAGGGACUGUAAUAUAUUACUUCUUAACCGUGACUGUGGUUACAGGUAGUGCUCAGGUUAUUCUUUUGGGAAACAUACCUGUUUUAUGUAGUUUUUUGUAUAUGUGUAUGUAAUAUGUUUCACUGUAUUUAUAUGUUUACUGGAUAAAAAUGUGGAAAAUACCCAAAAGAGCUCAAGGCAAAAAUGUUUUCUUUAAUCCUUCCACCAAGAGAUAAUCCCUUUUCUUUUUGGACAUGUAUCUUCUCAGUAUUUUGGGGACAAAAAUAUGUACCCGUAUGUAUGUUAUAUAUCUAAACCUGACUUUUUGAUUCAUUGUAUUGUAAUAUUUUUGUAUGAGGUUUCAGGAUUCUGUACAAUUAAUUUUAAUAGCUAUAUAAAGUUCUUUUUCUUUUCCUUCCUUCCCUCUCUUUCUUUCUUUUCUUUUCUUUCUUUCUUUUCUUCCUUUCUUUUCUUUCUUUUCUUUCUUUCUUUCUUUCUUUCUUUCUUUCUUUCUUUCUUUCUUUCUUUCUUUCUUUCUUUUCUUUCUUUCUUUCUCCUUCCUUCCUUCUUUCCUUCCUUCCUUCCUUCCUUCCUUCCUUCUUUCCUUCCUUCCUUCCUUCCUUCUUUUUCUUUCUCUCUCUGCACCUGUGGCAUAUGGAAGUUCCCAGGCUAGGGAUUGAAUUGGAGCUUCAGCUGCUGGCCUGCAUCACAGCCACCACAAUUCAGGAUCCAAGCUGCAUCUAUGACCUAUAACACAGCUCACAGCAACGCCAUAUCCUUAAACCACUAGAUGAGGCCAGGGAUUGAACCUUUAUCCUCAUAGAUACUAGUUGGGUUUGUUACUGCUGAGCCACGAUGGGAACUCCUAGGUUAUUUCUAAUAUUUAAAUAUUAUAAAUGACAUGUUUAUCUUGUAGGUAUUUGAAACUAAAUAGCCUAUUUGGACUCUUUAUUUAGUAUAUAGACAUUUCAUAAAAGGUAAAUUUUGUUAGAUAACUGUAGCUUCAAAAACUACUUGAAAGCUGCUUUUUUUUCUCCCUUAAAGAAAAUUGAAAACACAUUCAAAUUUUUCCUUUUAUGAGUAGGUAUAUGUGGUGUGGUGGGUGUAAGUUGAAAUGACGGCAACAUCUUUAUACUCUUUUGUGGACUGGGAAGAUGUUUUACGCAUUCACUUAUUGCGUGUUUAUUGGACAUUAUUGGUAUGCCAGGUGCUUUAUUCCAGAUCUGAAGAUACAGAGAUGGAGACCUGGUUUCUCCUUUCACAGUCAGGCGACAUAAAGAACAUCAGCUCUUGGGUUUUGCCAGCCCAUGGACUCUUGGGUUUAUGGAUCUAAACAUUUCUACUUGGGUGACUUUGCUGUGAUUUAUAUUAUUAAACCGGUGAUUUAGGAGCUUAUAUUCUAGCACUGCUGCUACUUUAUCCUCCUUCCUUAAACCCCUCAUCCCUAAACCCUAUGUCCUUCUUUUAGGCUGACUCCUGGAACUCAGAGCUUGGUGGGCAAGACCUGAAUAGGGCCGAAAUGGAAAUUAUCU